RNAcentral lists this ribosomal RNA (435 nucleotides) under uncultured bacterium. Its description in RNAcentral is "partial 16S ribosomal RNA". It matches the Rfam family "Bacterial small subunit ribosomal RNA", at positions 30 to 508 of the family's 1533-position model. The record is from RNAcentral.
AGCGAACGCUGGCGGCAGGCUUAACACAUGCAAGUCGAACGGGCAUCUUCGGAUGUUAGUGGCAGACGGGUGAGUAACACGUGGGAACGUACCCUUCGGUUCGGAAUAACUCAGGGAAACUUGAGCUAAUACCGGAUACGCCCUUUUGGGGAAAGGUUUACUGCCGAAGGAUCGGCCCGCGUCUGAUUAGCUUGUUGGUGGGGUAACGGCCUACCAAGGCGACGAUCAGUAGCUGGUCUGAGAGGAUGAUCAGCCACACUGGGACUGAGACACGGCCCGACCACCGCGGGGGGGAAGAAGGGGGAAAUAGGGAAAAGGGGGCGAAGGCGUGACCCAGCCGUGCCGGGUGAGAAAAGAGGGCCUGGGGGUGGAAAAGUUUUUUUGGCGGGGAGGAAAAGGAGGGAACGGAAAAAAAAGCCCCCGGAAAAUUUGGUC